UGACCGAUAGUGAACCAGUACCGUGAGGGAAAGGCGAAAAGAACCCCGGCGAGGGGAGUGAAAAAGAACCUGAAACCGUGUACGUACAAGCAGUGGGAGCCCCACCACUAAGCCAGUGGUGAACUCCACAUACGCAUCCUUUGCUGAGGAUACGGUUAACGGAGCGAAAGCGACGUUCAACCUCAAAAGAAGCAGAGGGGGCUUAGUGGUGGGGUGACUGCGUACCUUUUGUAUAAUGGGUCAGCGACUUAUAUUCUGUAGCAAGGUUAACCGUAUAGGGGAGCCGGAGGGAAACCGAGUCUUAACCGGGCGUUAAGUUGCAGGGUAUAGACCCGAAACCCGGUGAUCUAGCCAUGGGCAGGUUGAAGGUUGGGUAACACUAACUGGAGGACCGAACCGACUAAUGUUGAAAAAUUAGCGGAUGACCUGUGGCUGGGGGUGAAAGGCCAAUCAAACCGGGAGAUAGCUGGUUCUCCCCGAAAGCUAUUUAGGUAGCGCCUCGUGAAUUCAUCUCCGGGGGUAGAGCACUGUUUCGGCUAGGGGGCCAUCCCGGCUUACCAACCCGAUGCAAACUGCGAAUACCGGAGAAUGUUAUCACGGGAGACACACGGCGGGUGCUAACGUCCGUCGUGAAGAGGGAAACAACCCAGACCGCCAGCUAAGGUCCCAAAGUCAUGGUUAAGUGGGAAACGAUGUGGGAAGGCCCAGACAGCCAGGAUGUUGGCUUAGAAGCAGCCAUCAUUUAAAGAAAGCGUAAUAGCUCACUGGUCGAGUCGGCCUGCGCGGAAGAUGUAACGGGGCUAAACCAU
This 809-nucleotide ribosomal RNA is filed under the name Salmonella enterica. RNAcentral describes it as "partial 23S ribosomal RNA". It matches the Rfam family "Bacterial large subunit ribosomal RNA", at positions 481 to 1190 of the family's 2925-position model. The record is from RNAcentral. Lineage: Bacteria; Pseudomonadati; Pseudomonadota; Gammaproteobacteria; Enterobacterales; Enterobacteriaceae.